UGGGGAAUUUUGGACAAUGGGCGCAAGCCUGAUCCAGCCAUGCCGCGUGCGGGACGAAGGCCUUCGGGUUGUAAACCGCUUUCAGCCGGAAAGAAAUCGCCAAGGCUAAUAUCCUUGGUGGAUGACGGUACCGGAAGAAGAAGCACCGGCUAACUACGUGCCAGCAGCCGCGGUAAUACGUAGGGUGCGAGCGUUAAUCGGAAUUACUGGGCGUAAAGGGUGCGCAGGCGGUUUUGUUAGCCAGGCGUGA
RNAcentral lists this ribosomal RNA (250 nucleotides) under uncultured bacterium. Its description in RNAcentral is "partial 16S ribosomal RNA". It matches the Rfam family "Bacterial small subunit ribosomal RNA", at positions 355 to 597 of the family's 1533-position model. The record is from RNAcentral.